GUUUGUGACAGGAUCUUGCUGUGUUGCCCAGACUAGCCUUCCAGGCUCAAGUGAUCUUCCUGCCUCAACUUCCCAAGUAGCUGAGACUACAAGUACAUGCCACUGUGCCUUAUAGGAAGAAGUAAAUUCCAAAAGAAAGAAAAACAUCAGUGGAGGAAAGAGUGUUUUAUGGGAUGUUAUAGAAUAAUAUCCAAGAUAUAUUGUUAAUUUAAAAAUUAGAAUGUAUACAUAUGUUAGUCAGCUUUUCAUUGCUGUGACCAAAAUGCUUGACAAGAACAAAGUAGAAGAAGAAAAGUUUAUUUGAAGCUUACAGUUUCAGAGGUUUGGACCCAAAGUGAGGAAGAACAUCAUGGUGGAAGGGCUUUUCAGAAAAGCCAGCAGCUGCAGCCAGGAAAGAGAGGAAAGGGAGGGACCACAGGGAAGAUGCACCCUUCCAGAGCAGCCCACAGUGACCCACUUCUGUUAGCCACUCCCCACCUGCCUACAGUUACCACCCAGUCGGCCCAUUCAAACUAGGACGUACUAAUUAGGUUACAGCUCUCACAAUCCAGUCAUUUCACCUCCUGCAUUUUUAAAACAAAGUAUUUAUUUAUUCUAAUUAGGUAUAUAUGACAGCAGAAUGCAUUUUGAUUCAUUGUACACAAUUGCAGCACAACUUUUCAUUUCUCUGGUUGUGCAAGAUGUAGCAUCCCACCAUAUGUGUAGUCAUACAGGUACCCAGGGUAAUGAUGUCCAUCUCAUUCCACCAUCUUUCUAGCCCCCAUGCUCCCUCCUCCCCUUUCUCCCCUUUGCCUAAUCAAAGUUUCUCCAUUCUUCCCAUACCCCUCCCCCCAUCAUGGACCAGCAUCCACUUACUUAUCUGAAAGAACAUUCGGUUUUUGGUUCUUUGGAAUUGGCUUACUUCACUUAGCAUGAUGUUCUCCAACUCCAUCCAUUUACCUGCAAAUGCAAUAAUUUUAUUCUAUUUUUUAAAAGAUAUAUAUAUAUAGAGAGAGAGAGAGAGAGAAUUUUUUAAUAUUUAUUUUUCAGUUUUUGGUGGACACAACAUCUUUAUUUUAUUUUUAUGUGGUGCUGAGGAUGGAACCCAGCGCCCCGCGCAUGCCUGGCGAGCAUGUUACCACUUGAGCCACAUCCCCAGCUCAAUUUUAUUCUAUUUUAAUGCUCAGUAAUAUUCCAUUGUGUUUUUAUACCACAGUUUCUUUAUCCAUUCA
RNAcentral lists this long non-coding RNA (1211 nucleotides) under Marmota monax (woodchuck). The record is from RNAcentral. Lineage: Eukaryota; Metazoa; Chordata; Mammalia; Rodentia; Sciuridae.